Musa acuminata AAA Group (dessert banana) is the source of this 2601-nucleotide long non-coding RNA. RefSeq lists it as uncharacterized. The transcript is spliced from 2 exons. NCBI's taxonomy places the organism in Eukaryota, Viridiplantae, Streptophyta, Magnoliopsida, Zingiberales, Musaceae. The record is from RefSeq and is a predicted model, not a curated record.
UUCUGUGCGCUAGGGUUUGCACAUCCUUCGGCUCCUCCUGUAGCAGCAUCUCACCCCGCGGUCGCCGUGGCGGCGAUGGAUCUUGCGGUGGACGGGAGGUGCGCGCUGCUGCUCGGGAGCGAGGUGGCUCUAGAAGUAUAGAUAAUCUUGUUUAAAAUAUCUUGGUACGUGUUUUCAAGUGUUCUUAUCUGUAUCUUGAAUGAUGUAUUUUAUCUCCUAAUGCUUAUUUCUUCCAUUUACUUGUGCAUUUUUGUCACCCCUCAGUUUUUAGUCGACAAGCAACUCGUUUCUUUGUGUUUGAUGCAUCCUGGGAGAUUAAGACUGCAACUAGGAGCUUCUGGUUGACUAUUAAGACAAGAUAUUUUUGACUGCAUCAACAAGUGGUAGAGCUAUGAUUUAUCAAAAAGGAAACAAUUCAGAAGAAAUUAAUCUUUUGUUAUAAGAUAUCAGUAGUAUUGUUUAUGCUGUGAGAAAAAACAAUAACAAAACCGUAAGUCCUAAUAUUUGAGAUCGACUACUACAUAUAACCGUAAGGUCAUAUGUUUAGUUAAUUUAAGAGUAUUUAAAUUUUUAUUUAUAGUAUCUACUGUUAAAGUAUUUUUCAUUUUUUUUAUCUCCCAUGUCACUAAAAUUAAUCAUUUCAUCUCUUCUCUUAGGUUUGUUGAGCACAUGUCCAUACCCUCUUGAACGAUUCUAUUUAAUUUUAUCUUCUAUCAAAGUAAUAUCUAAUUGUUGAUGAAUAAAAAUAUUUUUUUUCUAAUCAUUCUUGGUAACUGCACACAUAGGGGUGAAAAAUCAAAGAGCAAGAUCCAAGAGACUAUAACAGAGACUAAUUGGGAUCUCUUGCAACCAAAAUUUGGUACUGGUCAUCCUUAAAAUUAAACAGAAGAAGUGGAUUUUAUAUAAAUGUAAUAUAUGAUAUGCAACAUUUUUUUUUGUUGAUGGUCAGCCUCAACAUCUUAUGAGAGAAGCUAACAAAUUUCUUCAAACUGUCAGUUGUUGUGAACUUAGUCAAAUACACUCAUAGAGCUCCGUUUGGAACUAAUACUAUGUUUUUGUCUUCAGCCAGAAACUAGCAUGGGCUAGGAAACAUUCUUAUCAUUUUCCAGCAAACAAAUGUGAGGGAACCAAGCUUAGAAUAUUAGUUUUACUAAAUUUUACAAAAAAAAUUAGAUGCUGGUUAAUAGUGUCUUGUGAUAGCUCUUGGGUUUUCCGAUGAGUGCAAUUCAGAUAUACAAUUUGAGUUUCUAAUAAUGUUUUUUUCUAAGCAUUCUAGGAAGGCCUUGCAUGUGCAGGCUUCGCACUGGCAUUCUGUGCAUGAUUCUCCUACAUUCUAGAUGCUGAUCAUUGCCAAUGGGGCCUAAGCCAUUUGACCAAUCACUAAUCACAGGACAGAUUAAUGUUAGAGAACUUCUGACUUGGGCCUGAAUGUUUUCACUCCUAAGUUUGUAUUCCCUCCUUUCUCCUAUUUGCUUUCUGCUUUUAUACAAAAAUCAUUGUGCAUAUGAUGGCUUUACACUUGAUCUCUGAGCUUUCAGGUAAGUAAUAUGCUGACCAGAACUCUCUGCUGAUGCACAAGUUUCUUUUUUUACCUUUUUCCCUUUUUGCUUGGUUUUUAUGAUAUUAGUGUCAAUCAAUGCAGUUUCAUUGUUAGAGUGUCGCUUAGCAGAGCUUUUUCAUUUUUCUCGGAUAUCCUCUUCUAGUAUGUUUCUGUGAUUUUUUAUUUAAAUUUAGUGCCAUCCUCGUUUGUGUUUCAAUUCUUUGAUUUAGGAAGGUUGUGAUUCUCAAAGACAAUUGGGCUUUUCUAUCUCAAGUUUGAUAGGGCAACAUGACCUUGAUGGAAUGCUUCUACAUGAGGGGUUAAAUUGUGCUCAAACAAGAUGGACAUUGGUGUCGGCAUGGUUGGGUCCGUCCCGAGUGUGCAAGAUCACCAGCACGGCCUCUGAGCUGGAGCACGUUAACCCGAGGUUUGGUUGAGUGGGGGUAGACCUUGUUCUCUUAGGUGGAGGCUGAAGGUCACUCAUUUAGUUGUCCGUUGGGUGCUUGCACACAGGUCAUAAUCGGGAGGGGGAUUUCCGACCCGACCCCUCCGCUGCUUAAGCUAGCAAGAGUUGGAGAUGAGAGAGUUGGAGUGUGUGUGUGUGUAUAUUUGAGGUUCGACCCCAAUGCUAUUCUUGGGGGUGGCUUUAAUACUUGUUGUCGUGUGUUGACGUGUGUUAAUGGUCAUCGACGUCUUCAUACACGUGUUUAAAGAUGUCGUCGCCAUGGGUGGUCAGCUUGUAUGUUGGGACACUGGUGCAAUCUGAUAUGUCUGGCCUUGCUUCAUUUCGUGUUGCUCUGGAGUAGCUCAAGACGGGGCUACGUUGCUUCGUACAGCCUCGAGCGGUGUUGGUGCAAUGUGAUGGCGACGCAGAUGACAAGCGACUGCCUCGUUCAGAUCAGGGGUGUUGAGUUGGCUCAGUGCGCCAUGUUGGCUUUGGAACGUCGUGCUUGUGGAGUUGAUGCUAGAAUAUGCUAUAAUCACAUUGUAUUAGAUUUAACUAUUUAUGAGCGUAAUUUAUGUGUUUGGUUGUAUGGAAGAUUUGCGGAUAACUCUUUCUU